GUUUGGAUGACGAGUCCCGAAAAGGACGAAACAUUUGUCCUUGAC
This 45-nucleotide non-coding RNA is filed under the name Trichobilharzia regenti. The record is from RNAcentral. Lineage: Eukaryota; Metazoa; Platyhelminthes; Trematoda; Strigeidida; Schistosomatidae.